This 397-nucleotide ribosomal RNA is filed under the name uncultured bacterium. RNAcentral describes it as "partial 16S ribosomal RNA". It matches the Rfam family "Bacterial small subunit ribosomal RNA", at positions 523 to 918 of the family's 1533-position model. The record is from RNAcentral.
AUACGUAGGUGACAAGCGUUAUCCGGAUUUACUGGGCGUAAAGGGCGUGUAGGCGGUCUUGCAAGUCAGAAGUGAAAUUCCUGAGCUCAACUCGGGCGCUGCUUCUGAAACUGCAGGACUUGAGUGCUGGAGGGGAUAGCGGAAUUCCUAGUGGAGCGGUAAAAUGCGCAGAUAUUAGGAAGAACACCGGUGGCGAAGGCGGCUAACUGGACAGUAACCGACGCUGAGGCGCGAAAGCGUGGGGAGCAAACAGAAUUAGAUACCCGGGUAGUCCACGCCGUAAACGAUGAAUACUAGGUGUAGGGGGUAUCGACUCCCUCUGUGCCGCAGUUAACACAAUAAGUAUUCCGCCUGGGGAGUACGGCCGCAAGGUUGAAACUCAAAGGAAUUGACGGGG